Molecule: transfer RNA, 56 nt
Filed under: Triticum aestivum (bread wheat)
Lineage: Eukaryota; Viridiplantae; Streptophyta; Magnoliopsida; Poales; Poaceae
Also listed under: 1 other name
Source: Rfam by way of RNAcentral
GUUGAGUUGGUAAAUCACAAAGCUCUUAACCUUGUGGACGUGGGUUCAAGCCCCAU